RNAcentral lists this ribosomal RNA (252 nucleotides) under uncultured Bacteroidales bacterium. RNAcentral describes it as "partial 16S ribosomal RNA". It matches the Rfam family "Bacterial small subunit ribosomal RNA", at positions 524 to 776 of the family's 1533-position model. The record is from RNAcentral. Lineage: Bacteria; Pseudomonadati; Bacteroidota; Bacteroidia; Bacteroidales.
UACGGAGGAUGCGAGCGUUAUCCGGAUUUAUUGGGUUUAAAGGGUGCGCAGGCGGUCUGUUAAGUCAGCGGUCAAAGCCCGGGGCUCAACCCCGCCGAGCCGUCGGAACUGGGGGCCUUGAGUGCGGCGGAGGCAUGCGGAAUGCGCGGUGUAGCGGUGAAAUGCAUAGAUAUCACGCAGAACCCCGAUUGCGAAGGCAGCAUACCGGCGCCCGACUGACGCUGAGGCACGAAAGUGCGGGUAUCGAACAGG